Parus major (Great Tit) is the source of this 2993-nucleotide long non-coding RNA. RefSeq lists it as uncharacterized. The transcript has 5 exons. The record is from RefSeq and is a predicted model, not a curated record. NCBI's taxonomy places the organism in Eukaryota, Metazoa, Chordata, Aves, Passeriformes, Paridae.
CACUUCUGCUGCUUGUUGAUGUGUGAGGCACCAUUUUUGCUCAAAGUGCUCAUGACUAACAGCAGGAGCUACCACUUACAGCAUAAACAGCCUGGGAUUCUCCAUUGCUGCCCACAGCCCCACGGCAGCUCCAGGUCUCACCCCUUGGCGUUAAGGUGAUGUUCCUGCUGAGUUGCCCUGCGCUGGUUAGUGGGACUUUGCACUCCCUGCACCAAAAUUGUGUUUGAAGCUCAGUUUCCAUGCUUGGCAUCAAGCAGACCUAUUGUCCUCGGUGGGACAACGUGGGUGACACCCCUCAGGUUGAUUGCUCUGAACCUCCUUCCCUGCUCAGCCGCUGCCCUGGGGAGGGGCUGGCUUCGGCAGCUGCCCCAGGACCUGCCUCCAUGGGGUGGGUACCCAGGCAGGGGGAGGGAGAGGAAACAGAGGCUCCUGGAAGGCACUGAGGAAGCUGGAAUUAAAAGUGGCAAGGAAAAGGAAGAAGAAAGAAGAAAGAAAGGGAAGCCAAAGUAGAAAUUCAGAUAGUCUCUGGAGCUGGGGGAAGGAGUCAGUCUGUUAGUCAGCCUUUACUCUGCCGCUGUUAAGCUCUACCCACUGAACGACUCCAAUUAGUAAUUAUCAGUAUAUGCCAGCUGUUAUUUCAGUCCUGGCAACAUCUGCAUUUAGAGAACAUCUGUUUUUUUCUGUGAAGCUGCAAGUGCUGUAGUUAACACGUUGGUAUUUAAUAUUUUGGGUUUGGUUUUUUUUGGUUUUUUUUUAAAUCUUCAACCUGUUCUGCACUGCCAUGCUAGCAAUACACGUGAAAACAAAACUCAGCAGUUCAAAAUUACUAUAAAUUAAUGAACUUCUCCUUUCCACGUUUGUCUCCAGCCUCAAAGCCCUGUCUCAAUGUACUCACUCAAAAUAAACCCAAUAGAAGUUGCAACAUUUUAGCACAUUUCACAUAAGGCUAUUCCUGGCACAUGCUGAAAAGCAUCUAUUUUAAUGGGGCUUGAGGGGUGUGGGCAAACCAUUUAGCCGGUUGAUGGGAGGAGGUGCCUGUAUCAAUAGCAACUGAAGCAUCUCUACAAGAGGAAAAGAAAAGAAGAAACCUCCAGAGAGAGAGAUGCUAUUCAGUUGUUGAGGCUUUCAGAUCUCAGGGCAUCUCCUAUUUUAUUUAUAGCUCCUCUGUGACUAAAUAUUAUUUUUCAAUUACUAUAUUGUGUUUUUUUCGGUUGGGCUUCUUAUCCUUUCUUCGAAGCAACGUGACCACAUAGUAAACUGUUUUUGAGGAGUGUUUGCUGUUUGAGGUUACAAGAUGAAACCACAGAGUUCCUUAUCUUGUCUUUCUGCAUCUGUUUUUACAUGAGCUAGCAGAGCAAAAGAGCAAAGCAGUAACGACCGAAAACUCCUUUUGCCCCUCUCCCCACCCAUAUUUUUGAAGCCACGGGAGAAGUCCCCAGUAGGAUCCAGCUGCCGGCCCUCUUUGGGUUUUUUUGUCUGCAAACCAGCAUUCACUAUUUCAUGGCUGCUCAGUCUUGACAGAAAACAUGUCUGGACAUGGAAGCUGGUGGGAGUUUUGCUCGGCAUGUGGAGGUCUGCUAUGAAUACCAGAGUGGAAAGCUGCUGGCACCCAACAAUCUCACAGUGAAAAGUUUUCAGGACACCAUGCGUGCUGUGCUGGCUCCAUCCUGCAGACAGUCUUGAUUUGCAUUCUGAAGAGGAGCUCUUCCAUAGUCACCUAUGCCAAGCACAUGGACACCACAGACAGACUGGGUGUCUUCUCCUGCUCUGUAGGCAGAAGCUACCCCAGAUUUCCAUGUGGACAGUCACAGCUGAGGAAGGAUUGAUUGUCUCUGAUGGACACGGCAGCUGGAGGAGAUGUCUGCAACCCAGGAUAACUGGUAGUAGAAGGGAAGCAGCAUGCACAAGGUCUCACCAGUGGGAAAAAAUGGUGCUUCUCAUCUGCAUGUUGCAAAUUAUUUCACCCUAAAUGAGGUGAGAAGGUUCAUGGGCCAAGACAAAAGUUGCAUCAAAGAGAGGUCUGAUUGAAUACUAGGAAAAAGCCCAAACAACUUUGGAAAAGAUUCCCUAGGAGGUCUUUUUUGUCCUUGGAGGUUUCUAAAACUCAGGUGGACACAGUCCUAAGUGAUCUGCCUUCAUGCUGAAAUUAGCCCUGCUUUCAGUGAGAAGUUGGAGCACAUGACCUUCCCAGGUCCCUUAAGGGUUCAGUCACUCUACAUCUAUGCUACUAUGACCCUGCAAUCAUGUUAUGAAUCCCAGGUCAGGAGAUAACAAGUCUCAGGGUUGCCCAAGCAUGGUCCUGUAUCCUUACCCUCAGCAGCAAUGGCAUUUGCUCUGCUGGUGGUGCAGGUCAUCUCCCAUUGGAGGCAUGUGCCAUCGGAGGCACAGCAUCCAACCCUUCUAGGAGAAAGUCCUUGGCUGCCAAAAUAAAUGCAUUUCAGGCACGCAUUUGAACCAGUCUGGGGUUGAAGGACUCGUAUCACACCACCAAAGGUCAGGUGGAGAUCCAGGGCAGCUCCAGUCUGGGGGCAUUUUGGCACAGCGAGUUGUUUGUCCAGCACAACCACUUGCUGGUGUGGCGUCAACACAUGGAGCACGUCUGAGCACAGCCCAGGCUGCUGCACACCGGGGUUCUGUGUCAGUAUGUGCAGCACAAAUAGGCACCAGCACAGGUCACUUCAUGUCUGGGUCUGCUUUCAUCCCCUGAUGCUUCGGGUCAUCAGGCGUCACAGCCCGGAAAAUGAUUUUCCAGCAUUUGUGGAACGAAGGCUGCUCAAGAAACAAUUAGAUCAGCCUCUCAUCUUUUGAAAGCAAAUUGUUUAAAACCAAAAGCCAUAGGAUUGUGUACAUUUGUCUUUUCAACCCAGCAGUAAGUAUGUUAAUGUGCAGUAAAUCAUUAUUCACAGAAUCUCAGAAUAUGCUGAGCUGGAAGGAACCCCUGAGGAUCAUGGAGUCCAGCUCCUGGCCCUGCACAGCACCAUCCCCAGGUGUCA